Molecule: long non-coding RNA, 175 nt
Filed under: Penaeus japonicus
Lineage: Eukaryota; Metazoa; Arthropoda; Malacostraca; Decapoda; Penaeidae
Description: uncharacterized LOC122242580
Source: RNAcentral
CGUAUCGGCAACGACCACGGGCUCUCCCGCCAAGAGGUCUGGUGAAAGCGGAUCCAGCGAAGAGAGCGACACGAGCGAAUCCCUUGGCUCGAGCGAGGAGGCAACGACCACGGGCUCUCCCGCCAAGAGGUCUGGUGAAAGCGUAUCCAGCGAAGAGAGCGACACGAGUAGAUCC